UCAAAUGAUAUUUUUUUUCCAAUUUUUGUCUCUUCUUCUCCCGCUGAAUCAAACUUUUUCUUGCCAUAAGGGUU
Molecule: transfer RNA, 74 nt
Filed under: Prunus dulcis (almond)
Lineage: Eukaryota; Viridiplantae; Streptophyta; Magnoliopsida; Rosales; Rosaceae
Description: tRNA-fMet
Source: RNAcentral